UACGGAGGGUGCAAGCGUUAAUCGGAAUUACUGGGCGUAUAGCGCACGCAGGCGGUUUAUUAAGUUUGAUGUUAAAACCCCGGGCUUAACCUUGGUAUGGCAUCUAAGACUGGUUGGCUAGAGUCUUGUAGAGGGGGGGAGAAUUCCCAGUGUAGCGGUGAAAUUCGUAGAGAUUGGGAAGAAAACCGGUGGCGAAAGCGGCCCCCUGGACAAAGACUGACGCUCAGGUGCGAAAGCGUGGGGAGCAAACAGG
This 253-nucleotide ribosomal RNA is filed under the name uncultured bacterium. RNAcentral describes it as "partial 16S ribosomal RNA". It matches the Rfam family "Bacterial small subunit ribosomal RNA", at positions 524 to 776 of the family's 1533-position model. The record is from RNAcentral.